GACGAACGCUGGCGGCGUGCUUAACACAUGCAAGUCGAGCGGUAAGGCCCCUUCGGGGGUACACGAGCGGCGAACGGGUGAGUAACACGUGAGCAAUCUGCCCUUCACUUUGGGAUAACUCUGGGAAACGAGAGCUAAUACCGAAUACGACCACUUCAGGCAUCUGAUGGUGGUGGAAAGUUCCGGCGGUGAAGGAUGAGCUCGCGGCCUAUCAGCUAGUUGGUGGAGUAACGGCCCACCAAGGCUUCGACGGGUAGCCGGCCUGAGAGGGUGACCGGCCACACUGGGACUGAGACACGGCCCAGACUCCUACGGGAGGCAGCAGUGGGGAAUAUUGGACAAUGGGCGAAAGCCUGAUCCAGCAACGCCGCGUGAGGGAUGACGGCCUUCGGGUUGUAAACCGUCUUUCAGUAGGACGAAGCGCAAGU
Molecule: ribosomal RNA, 428 nt
Filed under: uncultured bacterium
Lineage: Bacteria
Description: bacterial SSU rRNA
Rfam family: Bacterial small subunit ribosomal RNA
Source: RNAcentral